Molecule: long non-coding RNA, 423 nt
Organism: Rosa chinensis
Lineage: Eukaryota; Viridiplantae; Streptophyta; Magnoliopsida; Rosales; Rosaceae
Exons: 3
Source: RefSeq, a predicted model, not a curated record
CAGCACUCUACUUUUUUAAAAACUCUCUGGAUAGGAAAGUUUAUAGGACUAGAGGCUCUUCCUGAAUGGUUGGGAAAUCUUACAUCUCUUGAGACUACAUAUCUGGCUUUGAGAGAAUCUCAAGUAUCUACCUACACUGAAUGCUAUGAAAAGCCUCACCAAAUUAAAGAAGCUCUACAUUGAGGGAUGUCCCCUGCUCAAGGAAAGAUGCACCAAGGAGACUGGCCCAAGAUUUCUCACAUCCCAGAACAUGACUUGUGGUGAAGCUACGUAAUGGCCUGCCAUACUAAACUAGAAUGCCUGGUCACAUUUCAAGAGGAAAAUGUAUUAUCAAUUGAUUUCAUUCAAGUUACGAGGUUAAUCAAUUCCCAAUUGCCAGAGAUUUAUCCCUAAAGCGGGGUUCUAUCAUACUUAAUGGGAAGA